This 522-nucleotide long non-coding RNA is filed under the name Nicotiana benthamiana. Its description in RNAcentral is "long non-coding RNA (NBEN_LNC009156)". Lineage: Eukaryota; Viridiplantae; Streptophyta; Magnoliopsida; Solanales; Solanaceae. The record is from RNAcentral.
UAAAAAGUGAAUCGUUUGAGAGCUCCAAAUUUGGAAGUUGAGAACUAAUAAACAAUGAGAAAAACAAGGGAGCCUUAACGUAAUUAGUAAAGUUAUUGUUAUGUGAUCAGGAACGAGUUCAAGCCCUGAAAAUAACAUUUAACAGAAAUAUAAGGUAAGACUGCGUAUGAUAGAUCCUUUUGGUCCGAUUUUUUCCCAAACUUCGCGCAUAGCCGUUUUGUUGGUUUGGGUGGAAAUCGAAGGACUUUUUUCAUUGUCUGUCGGGUCCAAAAGGAGAGUUGUUUAUUUUCCUUAUUUUCUCUCCUAAUUUUCUACUCAGACCAAAGAAAGGGAGGCUUUAAAGCUGUCUACUGAUCUAUCACUUUCUCUAAUUUCCACCAAGGAAAUAAGAAAAGACACACGUAGGGAUUGGAGGAAUAGAAGAAAAGAUACUUGGCUCUGAACAAAAUAUCUAUCUUUUUCCUUUUUUGCUUUUUCCUUUCUUAGACCAAGCAAGCAGACAGAUAUUUUUGUACGUUCCCU